This is a long non-coding RNA of Apis florea (little honeybee), 720 nucleotides long. RefSeq lists it as uncharacterized. The record is from RefSeq and is a predicted model, not a curated record. Lineage: Eukaryota; Metazoa; Arthropoda; Insecta; Hymenoptera; Apidae.
AUAUAAUUCAAAUUCCAUGUUUGUACAUUUACAUAUAUUUAUAUAUAAACAGUAAUAACAGCAUGGACGUAGGCUACGCACAACCACCAUAAAAUCUUACCGCGGUAGUUAAGAUUGGGCUUGGUGUAUUCGGAAUAAGAUUUCCACACGUUAUACGAAAAUGGAUCGGGAUAAAGAGAGUAUCCGGUAGUAGUUUUAGCAGCUCUGCUUUGUCGUUUAGUGUACCUCCACAUUGCCCUCAAUUCUUCGCAUGUCGGCUCCGUCAGGUCAACGCGCUUCUCGGCAAUGUCGCCGGUGUUCCCUGAUUGCGCCGAGAUCGGAUCAAUGUAUCGUAUACCGGUCACGAACGGGGUGCUUGAGUACGCUAACACAAAAGCUGUCCAUACGGCCACAGUACGCAUUUUCUAGAGAAUAAAAUAUACAAGUUCAUAUUCAAGAUUCAAGAUGAGAGAUGAAAGAAGGAUAUCAAUAAUCAAGCAACGAAAUUACGAAAAAAGAACAUUUUUCACUGGGAAUUUCGAUAAAUCAAAGGGAGCAGCGAACGAGAGAGCGAGCAAAGAACGAGUCGCAUGAAUGGAGUCAGCGGACACACGGAGUAGAGAAUGAGGGUGAGAGAAAGAGAGAGAGAGAAACAGAGAGGGUGCCAAGGAUGGAAGGAGGUCAAGAGUGGAACGAAGAGAAACUGGUGAAUGAACGAGAGUUGGAUUCACUAACCUGCCA